This 468-nucleotide ribosomal RNA is filed under the name uncultured bacterium. RNAcentral describes it as "partial 16S ribosomal RNA". It matches the Rfam family "Bacterial small subunit ribosomal RNA", at positions 28 to 507 of the family's 1533-position model. The record is from RNAcentral.
GACGAACGCUGGCGGCGUGCUUAACACAUGCAAGUCGAACGGAAAGGCCCUGCUUUUUUGGUGUGCUCGAGUGGCGAACGGGUGCGUAACACGUGAGUAACCUGCCCUUGACUUUCGGAUAACUUCAGGAAACUGGGCCUAAUACCGGAUAGGAUCUCCCGCUCCAUUGUGGGGGUUGGAUAUUUUCGGCGGUUGGGGAUGGACUCGCGGCUUAUCAGCUUGUUGGUGGGGUAGUGGCUUACCAAGGCUUUGACGGGUAGCCGGCCUGAGAGGGUGACCGGCCAAAUUGGGACUGAGAUACGGCCCAGACUCAUACGGGAGGCAGCAGUGGGGAAUAUUGCACAAUGGGCGGAAGCCUGAUGCAGAAACGCCGCGUGCGGGAUGAAGGCCUUCGGGUUGUAAACCGCUUUCGCCUGUGACGAAGCGUGAGUGACGGUAAUGGGUAAAGAAGCACCGGCUAACUACGUG